CCGUGGGCGCUGGAGAACUGAGGGGGGCUGCUCCUAGUACGAGAGGACCGGAGUGGACGCAUCACUGGUGUUCGGGUUGUCAUGCCAAUGGCACUGCCCGGUAGCUAAAUGCGGAAGAGAUAAGUGCUGAAAGCAUCUAAGCACGAAACUUGCCCCGAGAUGAGUUCUCCCUGACUCCUUGAGAGUCCUGAAGGAACGUUGAAGACGACGACGUUGAUAGGCCGGGUGUGUAAGCGCAGCGAUGCGUUGAGCUAACCGGUACUAAUGAACCGUGAGGCUUAACCUUACAACGCCGAAGGUGUUU
RNAcentral lists this ribosomal RNA (304 nucleotides) under Escherichia coli. RNAcentral describes it as "partial 23S ribosomal RNA". It matches the Rfam family "Bacterial large subunit ribosomal RNA", at positions 2645 to 2925 of the family's 2925-position model. Lineage: Bacteria; Pseudomonadati; Pseudomonadota; Gammaproteobacteria; Enterobacterales; Enterobacteriaceae. The record is from RNAcentral.